This 1469-nucleotide small RNA is filed under the name Caenorhabditis elegans. Its description in RNAcentral is "Unclassified non-coding RNA F58B6.10". The record is from RNAcentral. Lineage: Eukaryota; Metazoa; Nematoda; Chromadorea; Rhabditida; Rhabditidae.
GCCCGUAAUGGUAACAUGUGGGCACUCGUACUGUGAGCCGUGCAUCGAACGACAUACACGUGAUACGAGAGCCUGUGUAAUCUGUAAACUCGACGUUGGACCAUUUGCAGCGAUGAUUCCCAGCAUUACACUUGAUAAUGUACGACGGAUUUUGAUGCGAAAUUCGGAUUUUUCGACAGUUUUUACCCCGGAAAACCGUGGAUUUUUACCUUAAAAUCGCAUUUGUCAGCCAAAAAACUCUAAUUUUAGUCCGAAAAAACGAUUUUUCACGGCAAAAACUACAAAAAUACGCUUAAAAACCCGAUUUUUUCCUCAAAAUUUUGAAUUUUGUGACUAAAAAUUGCAUUUUCAGCCAUAAAAAGCAUAGUUUUGGCUUAAAAUUCAAUUUUCGAAAGUUUUUAGCCUUAAAGGCCGAGAUUUUGACUUAAAAAUCACAUUUUCCCGUGGAAAACUUGAUAUUUUUCAGCCAAAAAAACCACAAAAAUACAUUUUUCAACUUAUAAAUUAUGCAUUUUCGGUCAAAAAUCCGAUUUUUCCUUGAAAAUCUUGCCGAAAAUUCAGAAAAAUGUUGACUUUUACAUCUAAAAUUUCUUGAUUUUCGUUGGUUUUUACACUGAAAAACCGGAAUUUUGACCUAAAAAUAAACUUUUUCAUAGGAAAACCUAAAAAAUUAUGAAUUUUUGGGUUAAAAUUCUCCAUUUUCAGGGUAAAAAUCUGUUGGAAGCCCUGAAAAUUUUGAUUUUGAAGCUAUUUUUCGCAUUUUUCGCAGAAAAACUCAAUUUUAAUCUCAAAAUCCCGAUUUUCCAGCUAAAAAUCCCAAAUUUUUGCAUUUUUUCGCCGAAAAACUUAAUUUUAGUCAAAAAAAAUUGCGAUUUUCUUGCAAAAAUAUCAAUUUUUUGCAAUUUUUACCUUGAAAACCCAGUUUUAAUCUCAAAAUCCCGAUUUUUCAGUUAAAAAUCCAAAAUUUUUGCAAUUUUUAGCUCAAAAACCCAAUUUUCUAGCUAAAAUCUCAAAUUUUUGCAUUUUUUCGCAGAAAAAUACCAAAACAUUCAACGAAUUUUCGUUUCAGAUGGUCCGAAAAUUGAAAAACCAGGAGAAUAUCGAGAGCAGCUACGACGAUUUGUUCAUUUGUGAGGAAAAGGUUGAGUUUUUGCAGGAAAAUGCGAAUUUUCAGGGUUUUUGAGUGAAAAAAUCAUGAAAAUUAGGUGUUUUUGACCCCAAAAGUCGGGUUUUUUCACCAUUUUCAGUUGAAAAAUCGUGGUUUUCCACUUUUUUUAAAGCUUAAAAACCCCCGAUUUUCCCAAUUUUUACCCCCUAAAAACCCGGAUUUUUCACUAUUUUCAGCUCCAAAAAGCGCCAACACCACCAAUUUCGGAGGAAAUUCCGGCUCAAAAAAUGACGAGAAGCCUGUCACAACGGUCUAAACGACGCUUAUUCUUCUCAAUUGCGGGCCCAACGAUUUGCUCGAG